This 468-nucleotide ribosomal RNA is filed under the name uncultured bacterium. Its description in RNAcentral is "partial 16S ribosomal RNA". It matches the Rfam family "Bacterial small subunit ribosomal RNA", at positions 28 to 507 of the family's 1533-position model. The record is from RNAcentral.
GACGAACGCUGGCGGCGUGCUUAACACAUGCAAGUCGAACGGAAAGGCCCUGCUUUUGUGGGGUGCUCGAGUGGCGAACGGGUGAGUAACCCGUGAGUAACCUGCCCUUGACUUUGGGAUAACUUCAGGAAACUGGGGCUAAUCCCGGAUAGGAGCUCCUGCUGCAUGGUGGGGGUUGGAAAGUUUCGGCGGUUGGGGAUGGACUCGCGGCUUAUCAGCUUGUUGGUGGGGUAGUGGCUUACCAAGGCCUUGACGGGUAGCCGGCCUGAGAGGGUGACCGGCCACAUUGGGACUGGGAUACGGCCCAGACUCCUACGGGAGGCAGCAGUGGGGAAUAUUGCACAAUGGGCGGAAGCCUGAUGCAGCAACGCAGCGUGCGGGAUGACGGCCUUCGGGUUGUAAACCGCUUUCGCCUGUGACGAAGCGUGAGUGACGGUAAUGGGUAAAGAAGCACCGGCUAACUACGUG